RNAcentral lists this ribosomal RNA (431 nucleotides) under uncultured bacterium. Its description in RNAcentral is "partial 16S ribosomal RNA". It matches the Rfam family "Bacterial small subunit ribosomal RNA", at positions 29 to 505 of the family's 1533-position model. The record is from RNAcentral.
AACGAACGCUGGCGGCAGGCUUAACACAUGCAAGUCGAGCGAGACCUCCGGGCCUAGCGGCGGACGGGUGAGUAACGCGUGGGAACGUGCCCUUUUCUACGGAAUAGCCUCGGGAAACUGAGCGUAAUACCGUAUACGCCCUUUGGGGAAAAGAUUUAUCGGAGAAGGAUCGGCCCGCGUUGGAUUAGGUAGUUGGUGGGGUAAUGGCCUACCAAGCCUACGAUCCAUAGCUGGUUUGAGAGGAUGAUCAGCCACACGGGGACUGGGACAAGGCCCAGACUCCGACAGGAGGGAGGAGUAGGGAAUCAUAGACAGUGGGGGCAACCCUGAUCUAGCCAUGCCGCAUGAGUGAUGAAGGCCUGAGGGUUGUAAAGCUCUGUCAGCUAGGGAGAUAAUGACGGUACCAGCAGAAGAAGCCCCGGCUAACUCCG